CUUGGUCAUUUAGAGGAAGUAAAAGUCGUAACAAGGUCUCCGUAGGUGAACCUGCGGAGGGAUCAUUACCGAGUGAGGGCUUCGGCUCGACCUCCAACCCUUUUGUUGACCAACACCUGUUGCCUCGGGGGCGGUCCGGACCUGGCUUUGGCGUCGGGUUGUCGGAGCCCCCAGAGGACCAUUUAAACUCUGUGUCUUUACGUCGGAGUCUUGAUUAAAUCAAUUAAAACUUUCAACAACGGAUCUCUUGGUUCUGGCAUCGAUGAAGAACGCAGCGAAAUGCGAUAAGUAAUGUGAAUUGCAGAAUUCAGUGAAUCAUCGAAUCUUUGAACGCACAUUGCGCCCUUUGGUAUUCCGAAGGGCAUGCCCGUUCGAGCGUCAUUAAACCACUCAAGCCUGGCUUGGUAUUGGGCGUCGGGAUGUCCCCGCGCCCCAAUUUCACCGGCGAGACUUCCGAUCGCGAGCGAUAUGAUAUUCAACUCGCAAAGCGAUCUGGCAAUGUUUCCGCCGUUAAACUUCAAUCAAAGGUUGACCUCGGAUCGGGUAGGGAUACCCGCUGAACUUAAGCAUAUCAAUAAGCGGAGGAAAAGAAACCAACAGGGAUUGCCUUAGUAACGGCGAGUGAAGCGGCAACAGCUCAAAUUUGAAAUCUGGCGCAAGCCCGAAUUGUAAUUUGGAGAGGAUGCUUCUGGGUAGCGGCCGGUCUAAGUUCCUUGGAACAGGACGUCACAGAGGGUGAGAAUCCCGUAUGUGACCGGUUGGCACCCUCCACGUAGCUCCUUCGACGAGUCGAGUUGUUUGGGAAUGCAGCUCUAAAUGGGAGGUAAAUUUCUCCUAAAGCUAAAUACCGGCCAGAGACCGAUAGCGCACAAGUAGAGUGAUCGAAAGAUGAAAAGCACUUUGGAAAGAGAGUUAAAAAGCACGUGAAAUUGUUGAAAGGGACGCGCUUGCAACCAGACUUGUCGACGGUGUUCCGCCGGUCUUCUGACCGGUCCACUCGCCGUCUACAGGCCAGCAUCGUCUGGAGUCGCUGGAUAAAGGUGCGAGGAAUGUAACUCCCUCGGGAGUGUUAUAGCCUUGCGCGCAAUACGGCGUACUCUGGGCGAGGUCCGCGCUUCGGCUAGGAUGCUGGCGUAAUGGUCGUAAGCGGCCCGUCUUGAAACACGGA
Molecule: ribosomal RNA, 1168 nt
Filed under: uncultured fungus
Lineage: Eukaryota; Fungi
Description: eukaryotic LSU rRNA
Rfam family: Eukaryotic large subunit ribosomal RNA (bases 530-1168)
Source: RNAcentral